AUUGAACGCUGGCGGAAUGCUUUACACAUGCAAGUCGAACGGCAGCACGGGGCAACCUGGUGGCGAGUGGCGAACGGGUGAGUAAUACAUCGGAACGUGCCCAAUCGUGGGGGAUAACGUAGCGAAAGUUACGCUAAUACCGCAUACGAUCUACGGAUGAAAGCGGGGGAUCGCAAGACCUCGCGCGAAUGGAGCGGCCGAUGUCAGAUUAGGGUAGUUGGUGGGGUAAAGGCUCACCAAGCCGACGAUCUGUAGCUGGUCUGAGAGGACGACCAGCCACACUGGGACUGAG
RNAcentral lists this ribosomal RNA (292 nucleotides) under uncultured bacterium. RNAcentral describes it as "partial 16S ribosomal RNA". It matches the Rfam family "Bacterial small subunit ribosomal RNA", at positions 30 to 323 of the family's 1533-position model. The record is from RNAcentral.